Molecule: ribosomal RNA, 435 nt
Filed under: Triticum aestivum (bread wheat)
Lineage: Eukaryota; Viridiplantae; Streptophyta; Magnoliopsida; Poales; Poaceae
Description: partial small subunit ribosomal RNA
Source: RNAcentral
AUGACGGCCACAAGAUCUUUCAAGUAUCACGUGUUUGUCACUUCGUUCAUGUUUGUUUGCUUCAUUGCGUUCGCCUUGUUAUUAUGGUCGGAGCACAACGUAAUCUUCACCGCCAUCACCUUCCUCUACUCCAUGGUCAUGAGCCACCUGUGGCUUAUCAAACGCCGGGACCAGAACAAGACACAGGAGCCCAAAGAUUGCGAAUUGUCUGCUAUUUGCACACGCGCACCGCCCGAGUUGAUGCUGGUGGCAACCGGGAUCAUGUUAAUCUCCUUGGGUGUGGCAAUCUUUGUAUUUCGCCCUGAUUGGCGUGACUUGGCCUUCGUUGCUUUCAUGGUCUCCUCAUCGACAGCGGUCAUGCUUAUUUACCUCAAACUUGAGGAGAUUGACAGGAAGUCCUUGGAAAAAUUUAACGAUGCCUCAAAUCUAGUCUAG